RNAcentral lists this transfer RNA (82 nucleotides) under Prosthecodimorpha hirschii. Its description in RNAcentral is "Prosthecomicrobium hirschii tRNA". It matches the Rfam family "tRNA". From Rfam's summary of the family: Transfer RNA (tRNA) molecules are approximately 80 nucleotides in length. Their secondary structure includes four short double-helical elements and three loops (D, anti-codon, and T loops). The record is from Rfam by way of RNAcentral. Lineage: Bacteria; Pseudomonadati; Pseudomonadota; Alphaproteobacteria; Hyphomicrobiales; Ancalomicrobiaceae.
GCGGUCGUGGCGGAAUUGGUAGACGCGCUAGCUUGAGGUGCUAGUUCCGAAAGGCGUGGAGGUUCGAGUCCUCUCGACCGCA